This 1841-nucleotide long non-coding RNA is filed under the name Betta splendens (Siamese fighting fish). Its description in RNAcentral is "lncRNA (ENSBSLG00000008268.1)". The record is from RNAcentral. Lineage: Eukaryota; Metazoa; Chordata; Actinopteri; Anabantiformes; Osphronemidae.
AUGGAGGGACCGGGGCUACUGGUUCCGUCCCUUCCAAGUGGGAUGCUCUGCAGUUUUAAUUGCAUUAGUCAUACACACUUGUCCAGGAAUCUGGGGGCUCCUUCCGGGGGGGCCAGUACACUUCCCAUUGAUGGCUCUGUCUGCUGGACCCCCCGGAGAAUUGGGUAUCUCCCAAAGUUCCUCAUACUUAGCUACAUACACAUACAUUUAGGGCCGGGGGUGGGCUCUUUCACUGGGGCCUGGGGCUCAGGCCAGCUGUGGCCUCGGCCACUGGCCCUGAUGGAGAGAUCACCACCCAGUUUUAACUGCAAAAAGACAUUUAGGGCGAGGGGGGGCACUGUCCGGGGGACACACCGUCAGCCAGCGGUUGUGCUCCUGGAGGUGUCACCCACCUUCAGUGCACUUUAGUUCCACACACUCACGUCCAAGCUGGGUUGCAGGGUUCUGGGGUACCUAUUUCUACUGCCCUCUGCCUCCCCCGGUUUGGGGGGGUUGGUCGGGGCUCGGGAGGAGCUGCGGUCCCUGCCUGGGGCCACAUGGACGGCAGGCCGGAGACCUACCCUCCCCACGAAUGUGAUCAAGCGAAUGGUGUGGGUGGGAGAAUGUAUCUGAGAGUGCAUUGGUUCACGUAUGAUUGACUAGUUUGUUGUGAGAGAGUCUAUGGUGUGUGUGUGUGUUGAUGUGAUGAUGUGUGUUGCACAUGUGGAUGGGUGUAUGCGUCUGUGUUUGUGUGAGUUGGUAUGCGUGUGGUGCGGUUGAAGUGUGGGGGGUCCGGUUUUUCGCCCGGGGUACGAUGAUCGUCUGCCUGGGUGGUCUCUUUUCUGCUGACCCCACCAAUUGCUGGCCUUGUGCUGCAGGCCGCUGUAGCGCCAGGGGAUGAGGUCGGGCCGAUGGGGUAGGCCCCGCUCCGCCCGUGUGGGGGUGGUGGGCUGGGGGCGGGCCCCACUCUGGGCGCGAGGGCAUCUUCUGGCGGGCUCCCUACGGACCGUGGGUCCUCGGGCUCUACUCUUUCAGGCCGACCCUCCCGCCGGGGGGAGUGUUUGCCCCUGGUUCUCAUGGGGCGGACAGCGUUGACCCCCGGUGGCCCACUCUGGCCUCGGGUGCUGUCUCUGUGGCUGCUGCAGCUCUGCCUGGGGGGCUCUGUGUGGGCGGCUUGGGUCGCAACACCUGCCCUCCUGGAACUGAAGGUGUGUGGGCUCCCUGGCUGCUAGGAUUCCUUCCUCUGCUUGCUAGAUGGGCGUAGUGGCGGAGCCCCUCACAUCACCCUGGCUUCCACAAGUGGCAUUGUUCAUGCACCAACGUCUGCCUCACCCUUUGGGUGAAUAAUGAUAAGCUACAGCCUUACUAACCUUGUAGUGGGACACUUUCCAAAUCCAACUGUAAGUAUUAUUGAUACUUAUCACUACCGAUAUGAAUAAUGUGUGAAUAUGGAAUUUGUGGUGUUGUAUGUCAUGACUUUUAUUAAGUAGUAUGGGAUAUGUAUAAUAAUGCACAUAUGUAUGUAUAUUGUAUGUAUAUGUUUGUAUUAGUAUGUGCACAUACCUUAGCACUAUUAUUGGUAUUAGUAUUAAUCUCCAAGGUAAACCACAGUACAAAAAUUGUUUAGUUAUGAAUGUGUUAGCCUACGGUACAUCCAUGCUUCUUAUUUAUUUAUUUUUUUGCUCCGAUUGUUUGCUUAACGGAUUUGCUUGGUUUCAGCAGCUGGUUGCACCCCUUAUCCCCCCUCCCCCCCACCCUCCCGCAUACACACCCUAAAGCAGAAACCUAACCUGUCCACCAACACAGCAACAUCACACACAUUUUGGAUUAGCUAAAUAAACCAUUAAAUAAACCAUAAAUCA